Molecule: non-coding RNA, 73 nt
Organism: Desmophyllum pertusum
Lineage: Eukaryota; Metazoa; Cnidaria; Anthozoa; Scleractinia; Caryophylliidae
Source: the annotation of a GenBank genome assembly
GACGUGGUGGCCUAAUGGUUAGCGAGCUGAACUCUGAAUCAAACAGUCCAGGUUCGAGCCCUGGCCGGGGUCA